UGCCAGCAGCCGCGGUAAUACAUAGGGGGCAAGCGUUAUCCGGAAUUACUGGGCAUAAAGCGCACGUAGGCGGCUAAGUAAGUGUGAGGUGAAAUCCCACGGCUCACCCGUGGAACUGCUUUGCAUACUGCUUGGCCCGAGGAAGGUAGGGGAGAGCAGAACUCUUGGAGGAGUGGUGAAAUGCGUAGAUAUCAAGAGGAAUACCAGUGGCGAAGGCGGCUCUCUGGUCCUUUUCUGACGCUGAGGUGCGAAAGCUAGGGUAGCGAACGGGAUUAGAUA
This 279-nucleotide ribosomal RNA is filed under the name uncultured bacterium. Its description in RNAcentral is "partial 16S ribosomal RNA". It matches the Rfam family "Bacterial small subunit ribosomal RNA", at positions 506 to 784 of the family's 1533-position model. The record is from RNAcentral.